CAUGCUCCAAGGCUCAGAUCAGUCUGAUGGCCUAGGGAUGUGAGGCAUUUGCUGCUACUGCUCGUGCGAUCUUGAGCUCUUGUGGAUCUGCAACCCCUCAGGUACUCAGGAAGGGAGGCCGAGCUGCCUGGUUCUUCUGGAGCCUGCAGAAGAGCAUAAGCACAUCUGCCAGGCCUGGAUCAGAAACCUGUAGCAUCAAAAGGAAAAACGCUGUCCCUGCUGGCCCAGCCCAGUCCUUUUCCCAGGAGAGGCUUCUGAACAGUCCGCUGCCCAGACUUGGCAUUCCCAGAGCAGCUCCAUUGCAAGCUUCCCCAAACAGUACUGCCUGACCCUGCGCCUGUUCCACCGAAGCCCAGGCUGACAGAAGCAGGACAUAUGGACGGCUCAAACAUACCUACACAGAGGAGAUACUGCAUUCCUCCAGUGCCUCUCAGAAUCCCUCACCCGUCUCCCUAGGCUGGAAGUUCUUUCAAGUGUCUAACCUCCAUCCCUCCUGCUAAGAAUCCAAGUU
Molecule: long non-coding RNA, 511 nt
Organism: Galeopterus variegatus (Sunda flying lemur)
Lineage: Eukaryota; Metazoa; Chordata; Mammalia; Dermoptera; Cynocephalidae
Exons: 3
Source: RefSeq, a predicted model, not a curated record